Molecule: unclassified non-coding RNA, 514 nt
Filed under: Hevea brasiliensis (rubber tree)
Lineage: Eukaryota; Viridiplantae; Streptophyta; Magnoliopsida; Malpighiales; Euphorbiaceae
Source: RNAcentral
GCAAAUGAGAUCAAGGUCAUUCUUAUCCAAAAACUCCGCAACACGGUCAGGUCCAAAGGUACAUGAAACACCUCGAUCACUGUCUGACCAGCCCUCAACCUUGGCAUCAGGAUCAGACCAGAGCAGAUCACAAAGAAGACCACUAUCAGGAAUUUCAGUGGGCCUCUGAAUUUCCCUUAUUUGGUCCACUUUCUCCAACUCUGGAGAUAGGCCGCCAUGCAUACACAGUAUCUUCUCAUCAAUGAGUGCAGCCACAGGCAAACAAUUAAAGCAGUCAGUAAAUAUUUUCCAAAGCCUAACGUUGAAUCUUCUUUUACACUCAUCAUAAAACCCAUAUAUCCGAUUGAUCUUUGCAUCCUCAUGAUUUCCCCUCAAGAGAGAAAUUUUGUCAGGAUAUCUGAUUUUGUAGGCCAGAAGCAGACAUAUGGUCUCCAAACUUUGUUUCCCUCGAUCAACAUAAUCUCCAAGAAAGAGGUAGUUGCAAGAAGGAGGGAAGCCACCAUACUCAAAUAGC